RNAcentral lists this unclassified non-coding RNA (1653 nucleotides) under Hevea brasiliensis (rubber tree). Lineage: Eukaryota; Viridiplantae; Streptophyta; Magnoliopsida; Malpighiales; Euphorbiaceae. The record is from RNAcentral.
GCCUUCCUCCUCCUGAUUCCUUCUCCCGUAUUCUUAGUCCUCUUCAUCUGUAGAUGAUGAUCAACCUCAUUUUGCACAUGCUUUUGCUUCUUCUCCUUCUUCUUCUUCUUGCCUUCACUUAAUCUACUAACAAAUUAUCAGUUUCCUUUUCCAAUCCAUAAUCUCAAAAGUUUACAAGCGCCAAAAAAUAAUAAUAAAAAAAUACAGUAAUUAGUAGAUCAGAAAGUAAACUUCCAGAUCUUGAUUCUCAGAUCAACCUCGCAUUUGGACGACGUAGUUACGGCCACCGUCGGAGACUUGCCUUUCGGUACAGUCCCCUUAAUUCCUUCACAUGUAACCCUAAUCCCUACCUUCUUUGUCUUUAGUCCACCCAUCUGCACUUUCGCUUUAGUGUCCAACUGAAUCUUCAAUGUCACGCCACCGCUCUUCUUUUUCAGAUCCGAUCUCAAUGCGUUCACCGAAUCGGUGUCCAGAUCAUUCGACCCUGAAAUCACUACGUUUCGAAAACUAGUCUCGUUCUUCUUGCUCAAGCUGUAGGCAGGUAAUGUCCCAUUCCCGAGAAACACAUCAUUCGAGAAUGAAGAUAUAGUGAAGGAGUCAUAGAAAAAGGUGAAGUGGGAGUUGGGGUUUUUCGAGAUGAUGGUGAGAUUGAGAAGGGUGGAGAGGUGGGAGGUGGCGGAGUCAGCGGAGGUAGUGAGGUUCAGGCGGUGGAUACGAAGAGAAGGGAUGGAGAAGGCAGGUCGGUGGGGGUGGUACAUGAUGUAAAAAGCAGCUCCAGCAAUUGCAGCGAGGAGGAUGAGCAAUAGAAGAACAAGGAGGCUCCAGAAGCAGCAACAGCAGCAAAUGCUCCCGCCACUACGGGUACGGCGGCGGCGGUUGUGAGGCUGUGGGCGGUAAGGGAAGCGGGAUGUGGGGUUAUAGAGAUGAGAUUUGUUAGCAGGAGCAGUUGGAUUGAUGGCGGCGGCGGCAGUGGUAUUAGCGGCAGUGCCGUUGGCAGCUGGUUUUGAGGAAGGGAAGACUUUAUCAGACAUUAUGGGCAAGAAACUAGGAAAGAAGAGGCAAGACAAUAAAUCAAGAAUUGAAAUGCGAAGUGAGUGUUGAGACUGAGGUACGAAAUGUAAAGGGGAGGGAAAGACAGAGUGAAGGAGAGGAAAGUUACAGUCCACCGACGAGGAGGAGGAGAUGCUUACAGCAGAUCAAAGUUUCGGAGGAAUUGAAGUUGGAAUAGGUGGUCGUGGGUAGCUGUAAAUUUCAAACUUUGAGGCCAAGUUUCCAUCUUUUCUCCUCCGAUCUUAAUGGGACAUCUUAACACACGUGCGAGUCUUUUAGCUUCAGCUUCGUGCUUCACAUGUGAUGUGGGGUCCACGAUUUUUGGGUAAACUAUUCCUGAUCAGAUGGUUCUUAUCAUCUUUGAUUCACAUCGACCCAAGCUUUUACCAUUAUUAAAAUUAUAUUAUAAAACCAAAUCUCAUUAAUUUCUAAAGCAUAACGUCAUCAUUUAUCGGAGGGACAAAAACCAUAGCCUUAUAAGGAGAAUUUUCAAUGGUGAAGGCAAGAAUCAAAGGUAGAAGAAGAAUAAAGAGAAAGAAGAAAGGAGAGUGAAGAUGGUGGGUAUUGGAAGGCAACUUUUAAAUGUGGUAGGUAGGGAUGUAC